GGGGGAGCUGGGUGGCAGGUCAGAAAUCCUCCUGCACAGCUUGGCCAUCGAGGCCUGCAGCUGCUUGAGCACUGCGAUGUCCACCGGGGCCCAGGCCUGGGACAGCGGGGCCUGCAGAGACUCCUGCAGGCCUUCCAGGGGCGGCUUCAGGAGGCAUUCUGGGGGUGGGGAUGCCGUCAGGCCAGCAGGGCCUCGCUGGGAAAGCUCAGCCCCACCCUGGGUCCCUCCCUGGGGGCAGCAGCCUUGCCCUGCCGGGCCCAGAGGAGCCACGGCAGUGCCAUGACCAGCAGCCGACCCCAUUCUGGUCGCCUCUGCCAGAGGCCGUGCCCAGCCUGCAUGCCGCCCGCCCUCGUCUGUGGCCUGCGCGCCCGGGGCUCGGGCUCACUCAUGUCUGUGCACCUGAGGGCUGUGUCUCCGUGGCUGUGAGCACUCUCUUGCCCCCCAGGGUGAAGGCAUCCCGAGCUUCGGGGGAAAGGAAAGGGCGUCUGUGGGGACAGUAGGCCUGGGAGGGGUGGCUUGAGUAGGACAUGGGGGGGGAUCCCAGCACAGGGUACGAGCCCCCACUGCCUCUGGGUCCCGCAGUCCUGCAGGCUACCUCCAAAAAGGUCCUAUAGCUCCUAUCUGGGCAGACGGAGGAGGUCCCCGCCAGGCCACUUGGGGUCCUAAGGCCCUGGCCAGCACCUCUGCUGACCUGGGGACAUCAGACUGCCCCCCACACGGCAGGAGCUCCCCAGAGGAGCCCAGCACUGGCUGCAGGGUGGGAACGGGCUUGCCCUCCCCCCAGGCUGACCCAGCCUUUCCUAUAGGAGCCCAGGUUUCCCCACCCCCACCCUCAGGGACCUAGUCCCCCUGGGCACCCUCACCGGGUUCAUGAAGCGCUGCAGGAACCACUCGGCGGUGUAAAUCGCAGUGGUUGUCUGUUUCUCGUCCUGAAGGAGGCAUGAGUGCUCAGGGCCGGCCUGCCAGGCCCCAGACCUCCCCACCUGGGGGCCCCAUGCCGCUGCCCCUGGGGCCCGUGGACCCCAGCUCGGUCCUGGCCUUGUCAGGACCAGGAAGAUGACACUGCGGGCGGGCCGGGCCCUGUGAGGGCCGCUUCUACUCCCCGGGUGCCGCUUCACCUCGGGGAGGGCCUGCCUAGGAUGUGCUCUUAGGGGCCUGGAAUCACAGAUGUUUCGGGAACCCCAGAAUGAAGAAGCCUGAGAAGCCCCCAGAAGUCAGAGCCGCGCCUACCAGGGGUUCGUGUGUCCCAGGAACCCAAGGCCUUCCCCCUACCCCCCACAGUGACCCCACUGUGGAGGGCCCACCCCAGCCUGGCUGGACAGCUCUUCCCAGACCGGCCGGACUGCCUUUGAGGCCUGGGGCCAAGGACCCACUCACAGAGGCCCAGCUUGGCGGUGCUGAGCAUCUGGCGGGCAUCUGGCUCUGGCACACGCCCUCCCCGCUGUGGCUGCAGCAGGGGACAGGGGUCCCAGUACCAAGGGGAGGGAGUGCGGCCCACGGGGUGGGGGAUGGGGCGUGCACAUCUCCAGGCUUGGGAGUCAGGCGGGGGGCACAGCAGGGGACGCUGCCAUGUGGCCUUCCUCUGGUGGCACGGGCUUGGGGCGAGAGAAGGGGUGCGGCCAGGUGGGUGGCGGACGAGAGGCAGAAAGACCAGUAGGGGUGCAGUGGUCUGAACGAGGCCGGGGCUGAGGGCCGUGGCUACGGGACCCAGAGAGCUGCAGGGGGCAGCCAGUGCCCUUUGUGGGUGGGGAGAUGGACUGGGGGACCCUGCAAGGAGACUCCGGGCCCUGAGUCACAUCCAGAGCUCUGUGGCCGUCACCUACCAUGCAUGGUGCGCUUUUGCUCGGUCGUCAGCUAGCCCAGCGCCCAGAAGGCGUCGUCCUCACUCAGGAACAACAGCAGGAUGGCCACAGCCUGGCUCCUGCCCUGGCAGUAGCCCACCUCCCGGACCCCCUUGGAGGCCUCCUCUCCCUUCCCUGGCACUUGGACCUCAGCUCUUGGACAGGCUCCCACCCGUGCCUGGUCACCAUCCCAGGGGCCCCUUUUCCGGACGAGGCGUACUGGGUGCUGGGCACGGGCACAGUCUGGAGAUCCUGCCAUGAGCUCAGGCAGGGGUUGCUGACUGUGGCAUGUGUGAGCCUGGAAGGGCACAUGGUGGCGGCGGGGUUGGGGGGGGGUGGCCUGAGACCCCACAGUGGGCGAUCUGUGGGGUCAUCUCAGCUAGUGUUCCUCGAGGGAAUGUUCUGGAAAGAGCAGGUGGGGCAGGGAGCUGCCUCCCUGGGGCCACACAGGUGUUUGGGUUGCUGAGAACUCUCAUCCCUGCUAGGCUUCUGAUUCACGAAACAGCAUCUUCAAGAUCCAAGCUCAAGGGUCAGGACAACAGUAAUGCCUUUUAGGCCCAUGCGAAGUUCUUAUAAAACAUUUCCACGCUCAGGGGCUGGCACAGCCUAGGCCAAAGGUGCCACUUCUGUCCUGCACCCCUGCCAUCCAUCUCGGUGUGAGAGCAGAGCUCCCCUCGCAUCACCUCUGUGGCCAUGGAGCUGGCGUCCCCAGUCCCCACUGGCCGCCGACAGACCACUUAAGGAGCCGGGCCAUCGUGGGACGGCUCGGCCGGGGACCGUGCUCUCGGCGUUGUACACGGAAUAGGCCGCGAGCACGUGAAACAGGGCUCGCUGCCUGGAAGGGGGACAGCGGGGCUCACCGCGAGGCCCCUGCCGCUGGUCAUGCGUGUGGUGAGUGUGGGACACGGGUCGGGGCCAGGGUCGCUAAUGUUGGACAGGGUGAUAGAAUUGGGGGCUUCCUCACACUUGACUUUUUUAGAGGAUGCAGAUUGUCUAAAAAAGCAGAGAGGUGUAACAGUAAACAUCAAAAUGGAGUGUCAUUGUGUCCCCUCUAACCCUCACUCCAUCCUCCUGUGUCCCGGUCCAGACUGCUCUCUGCCGCCCGGUGCCCCCCUUUCCCCACAGGGGCCUGUGGACCUCGGAGGACACAGCCAGCCACCUGCACCUGGCCCCCUCCCCACUCAGGGCCACCCCCGUCCUGUGAGCUCCCACCCCUGCUGGCGCUCUGCACAGGCCCCACUCUCGCCACCCCAGCUCCAGACCUGGUCCUUGUGCCUCUCCUGCCCAGCACCCCUGGCACACAUACCCCCAAAGGGACUCGCGGCCCAGCGGCCUCACUCGAUGCCAUAGCGCACCCAGAACAUGGUAUGGUUUCAGAAGGUGCAGCUCCUGUCCAGGUUGAUGGGCUGAAUUUCUGGAGCGUGGAGCCUGGCCUGCUCCUUCAUUCUCUGUGGGCGGAGCCAGGGGUGGGGGGAGGUGAGGUCAGAGGCCUGGAACCCUAACCAACUGCCACAACUGCCACAGCAGAGUGGGUGCUGCCAGCUCAAGGUGAGUGGUUUCUGCAGAAACCUUUAUUUUGCUUGUUUCCCAAGCCAGGCAGGGUCACGAGGGCACCCAGGUAGCAGCCCGUGCCCAGCAGCCCUGGGCAGGGGCCACCGGCCGGUGGAUGGUCAGCCUGUGGUUUCUCCGAGGCCCAGACUCCCACCUGUUAGCGAGGCCCUGGCCAGGCCCCAGGGCCCCUCUACCCCUCCCCUGCACCAGCCAGUCCAGCAUGACAGCACCCGCUGGCCAGGCCCUGGGCUUGUCCCCAGGAGGCUGCUGCCAGGGGUGGGUGCCCUGGGCAGUCAGGAGGCUGGGAGGGCGGUUGGGCCUCCAUCUCCUGAGCCCUGCUGACCCCACUGCACACAGGUGGGGCGAGGCAGAGGGCCAGAAGGGGAGCCUGUGCCUGGUUUGGGGGGCCUUUUGAGAGCUCGAGGACCGAGCAUGACGCUGGCUCUUGUCCUACAGUGUCCGUGGGUGUUCAUCACGCUCUGGGCCUCCAAGACUGCCCGUCCUCGGGCCACUUGGACAGUAGUGGCCACUGUCACCUCCACUCCCGCUGCACUUCCCCUGCUGAUCCUGCUCAGCUUGGGCACAUAGAGCACCCUCCCUGGGCAAAGGGACCAGGGGACCCCUCGGUGGAGACGGGGGCAGGGGCCUCUCUGGGUUGAUGGGUUGAGACCUGUCUCUUGUCCCCAGUCAGUCAGGCCUGUGCUCUUCGGGCCUGGCCGUCUCCCUCUGUGGUUUCUGUGGGGUCUCCUUGCCCUUUCCUCCUGGCUUCUGUCCCUUUCUGUGUGACUCUGUCCCCCUCAGGUGUCUAGGAGGUGGCACCUGUCCAUCUCUGGGCCCAGUGUCUGUGCUGGGCCAGGUGGGACAGGCAGUGAGGAGGGGGACAAGGCCUUCCUGGCGGGCGGCCCCAGGGCUGUGAGUCUGGGAGGUGCCAGGAACGCUGGGGACGGGCGAGGGUCCCCGAGGCGUAGGUGGAGGCCCUGCCUGGUAUUUCCCUUUGUUCUCCGCCUCCACCUUCUCCAGGUCCAACAGCAGAGACCACGCCUGACCUCAUAUCUGGGGGGAUCCCCCUGUGGACCCGCCAGCGCAUCUGUGGGAAAGAAGUAGCCCGGAGACACGCGCAGGGGACGCUGUGGGGGAGUCGGAGCGAGACAAGGAUUUACUCCAGUUCCUCUGUAUCUUCACCUACUUAUCGGCUCACCUGAUCGCCUGGGUUCUUUGCUGGAAAAGGGGACCUGGUGGUGUUGGCCAAGCAGCCAGCUUCCCUAGAGUGGCCCUGACUCAGGGCCAUGGUCUCAGAAGAGCCAGGAAGGCGCAGACCCCUCACAGUCCAAGGACACCUCGACCGCUCUGGGGUCGGGCAGCGGGGAACCGCAGCUCCGCCUCAGCCACCUCCCGCCUCCCACCAGGACAGUGGGAGACGGGUUCUCACCCUCGCCUUGUGGGUGCUGAAGCCGUGGAUGCUGAGGCUGAGCUGCUCCCAACUUGAAGGCAAGAGAUGCAGAGCCAUGAGGACCGGGUUCCUGGAGCCCCCCUCCCCCGCCCCCGUCUCAGCCCAGGAGACUCUGGAGGGGAGGACUGACCGCCCGGGGGUCAGUGGUGCCCCUCCUCCCGCUGCUGCUGGUCACCCCCCUCUGCCCCCCGCCCCUGCCCUGCCAGGCCGAGCGGCCUCUCCCAGAGCAGGCGGGUCCAGGAGCCCAGCACCUGCUGCUCAGCCUCCCCUCCUCCACUGCGGCCCGGCCGGGCCUCCUACCCCGAGUCUCCUCCUGGCACCAGACAAGGGGUCAAACUCCACCCGCCUCUGCCACUUUUCCAUGAGCUUCCAGGUCCUGCCGGACUAUCCUCCAACGCCUGAAACCACAUCUCUCACUGCCCUUCAUGCAAUGUCCUCACGUGGCCCCCCAGCUGGGCCUGCUGCCCUUGGAAACUUGUGGGCCAGGCGCCCCUCAUCCUGUGGCCACCCUCCGUAGAGCCGCUGUGGACCAGUCUGAGCCCACCCCGACCCUGCUGGACAGAUGCCCGGCCCCUCCGCGGUGUCGGUGUGGAGGCUCCGGGGCUGAGGCCAAAGCCCGGCUCAGAGCCCAGCUCUGCCCGCGCCACCUCCCCGAGCCCCCUUGGCGCGAGGUUAGUGCGGAUGCUGGUCCCCAGUGUCCCCCACGGCUUGAGGCCCUGAGCUGGGCAGAAGGGCCCUGCCUCCAGAGAGGUGCUUCCCCAAAUGGGAGCCCUCCUGGGGGACAUUGCGGGGGUGGGGGCGGUGUCCAGAUGGCUCACAGCCAAAAACCUAGCCUGUCGGUGACUUUAUAGAGUGAGAGAUCAGAAUCUCCCCUCGGUUCCACUGGAGGCCCUGACUGGCGCCCCUGAAACCCAGAUGGGGCACCAAGGUGAGGGUACAACCAGAGCGACAGAGGGCCUAGCACAAGACUCUGCCCAAAGGGGCGCCGCCUGUGCCUCACCUGCUUGUACCUGCUUUGAUCUUGCCUGGGACACACCUGCUGCCUCUGGGCCCCACCUGGGCCUCACCUGCUCAGCCUUGGCUCUGAUCCCACCAGGGACAUACCUGCCCCCGUGGGCUAUGAUUCCCCGCCUGGGCCUCACCUGUCCCCUCGGGCUCUGGUCUGCACCUGGGCUGCUCUGAUUCCCACUUGGGGGAUGUGCCUGCUCCUGCUGCUGCUGAUGCCCACUUGGGCCUCACCUGUUCUGCUGGCUCUGGUCCCCACCAGGCCUCUUUGCCUGUCCUUGGCUCUGCCCCCUGCCUGGGCUGCACCUGCUCCUAGUGGCUUCGCUCCCUCUGGAGCCUCACCUCAUAUUUGGCAGUUAUUUCUGCUCGUUCCAGGGCCAGCAGGGUCUCCAGCUUUUCUAUAUCUGAUGCUACAAGAAAAAAAAUCCAAACAUUCCAGUGUACAAAAGAGCUUCAGCGAACCAACAGGUUGAAGUGGGCUCCCUCUUGGCAGCUCCCCGCCUCUCUGAUCAGAGGGGAGAAAAUGGUGCCUCCUGGGUGAGUGGCACCCCAAACGCCCUAACGCCUCCACUUACAGAGCCCUCCCAGCAGCCUGGAGAUCUUGGCACAAUGAGAUGAGGAACAAGAAGGGGACCUGGAGGGGGGUCAGUGCAGAGGCGCGGGCUCCCGGCCCAGGGGCGCCGAGGGGAAGGCAGCUGCCAGCUGGCAAGGGCCCCGCAGGCUCAUGGGAUGCACGUGUUGCUUGGGCAUCCGAAACCCAGGUGACAAAAGAUCAACCUUGAUAAGCUGAACUUUAUCAAAAUGAAAAUGGCUGUGCCUCAGGUGACACAGUCAAGAGAAAGACAAUCCACACUGCGAAUACAAAUGUGUGAACGGCCUGACUGACCGGGGCCUAGGAUACAGAAUAUGGCCAGACUCCUAAGUAGAGUAGAAACGGCUCAAGUAGACAGUGGGCGGAGGACUUGGAUGUUUCUCCAAAGUCAACCCAACUUGAGGGAAGAGGGCCAGCGGGCACAGGAGACAAGCCUCAACAUUGGCAUCAGGGGGAUGCAAAUGGAGGCCCCCAGGAGACCGCACCUCUCACCUGCUGGAGGGGUUUUCCUGAGCACCUGAGGAUGUGGAGAGACUGGAACUUUCCUGUAGGGGCUGGCAGGAUUGCAAAACGGCCCAGAUGGGCGCCCAAGAGAGAGGGACAGGGACGCAGACAUCUGUACACGCACGUUCAUAGCAGAAGCACUCCCAAGAGCACGAAGGUGGGCCCCCUCCCAGACAGGUGGCGGGAGGUCCAGGAUGGGAUGGCACGUCAUUCAACUGGAGGAGGAGUGACCCGCUGCCCCGUGCUGCCCCAUGGACGGAUGUGAGGCUCAGCAAAGAGAGCAGAGCCAGAAGACCGCCCGUCGUGAGGCUCCGUGCGUGUGCAGCGGCCAGCAGAGCCGGGCCCAGAGAGACAGGAAGUGGUCCGUCGUCUCCGGGGCUGGGGGAGGGCCCAGUGCGGGUGUCUGUUGAUAACAGAUUUUGUGGACGAGGUGGUGGCGGGUGGACAUAGUGGUGAUGGUGACAUGACGUCACAAAUAUACUCAAAACCACCGAGUGGUCUGCUUUAACCGC
Molecule: long non-coding RNA, 7455 nt
Filed under: Sus scrofa (pig)
Lineage: Eukaryota; Metazoa; Chordata; Mammalia; Artiodactyla; Suidae
Description: lncRNA (ENSSSCG00065017311.1)
Source: RNAcentral